This 75-nucleotide transfer RNA is filed under the name Eggerthellaceae bacterium. Its description in RNAcentral is "tRNA-Val". It matches the Rfam family "tRNA". Rfam says of the family: Transfer RNA (tRNA) molecules are approximately 80 nucleotides in length. Their secondary structure includes four short double-helical elements and three loops (D, anti-codon, and T loops). Lineage: Bacteria; Bacillati; Actinomycetota; Coriobacteriia; Eggerthellales; Eggerthellaceae. RNAcentral also lists the same sequence under 2 other names. The record is from RNAcentral.
GGUCGAUUGGCGCAGCGGGAGCGCAGGUGCCUUACAAGCACAAGGUCGGGGGUUCAAAUCCCUCAUCGACCACCA